GGGCAGACACCAUUUGAGCUAGCCACAGGCCAACAACCCCAAACUCCACAUUCAUUACCAGCCGCGUCCGAGGGAAAGAGUUUGGGGGCUUAUCAUAUGGCCAAAGGAUGGGAAGAGCAGCUCGACACUGCUAAGUCCUACUUGGAUAAGGCAGCUAAGAAGAUGAAGAAGUUUGCUAACCGCAAGCGGUGUCCCACAGACUAUAGAGUUGGGGACAUGGUCAUGGUAAAGUUUAACCCAAGACAGUUCAAGGCAUUACGGGGCAUGCAUCAGAAUCUAAUUCGCUUUAGGGUUUUAAACCCUAAUACUGAAAUUUUCCCUUUUAAUCAGCAUUAUGGUUUUAAACCCUAAACUGAAUUUUCCUUUUAGUCAGCAUUAGGGUUUUAAACCCUAAACUGAGUUUUUCCUUUCAGCCAGCAUUAGGGUUUUAAACCCUAAACUGAGCUUUUCCAUGCAAUCAGCAUUAGGGUUUUAAACACAAAACUGAAUUUUCCUUUUAGUCAGCAUUAGGGUUUUAAACCCUAAACUGAACUUUUUCCUUUCAGCCAGCAUUAGGGUUUUAAACCCUAAACUGAGCUUUUCCAUGCAGCCAGCAUUAGGGUUUUAAACCCUAAACUGAAUUUUUCCUUUUAGUCAGCAUUAGGGUUUUAAACCCUAAACUGAACUUUUUCCUUUAGCCAGCAUUAGGGUUUUAAACCCUAAACUGAGCUUUUGCUUCCAGUCAGCAUUAGGGUUUCUAAACCCUAAACUGAGCUUUUCCAUAAAUCAGCAUUAGGGUUUUAAACCCUAAACUGAACCUUUUUCUUUAGUCAGCAUUAGGGUUUUAAACCCUAAACUGAAUUCUUCCCUUUAAUCAGCAUUAGGGUUUUAAGCCCUAAACUGAACUUUUUCCCUUUCAGCCAGCAUUAGGGUUUUAAACUCUAAACUGAGCUUUUCUAUGCAAUCAGCAUUAGGGUUUUAAACCCUAAACUGAAUUUUCCUUUUAGUCAGCAUUAGGGUUUUAAACCCUAAACUGAACUUUUUCCUUUUCAGCCAGCAUUAGGGUUUUAAACUCUAAACUGAGCUUUUCCAUGCAAUCAGCAUUAGGGUUUUAAACCCUAAACUGAAUUUUCCUUUUAGUCAGCAUUAGGGUUUUAAACCCUAAACUGAACUUUUUCCUUUCAGCCAGCAUUAGGGUUUUAAACUCUAAACUGAGCUUUUCCAUGCAAUCAGUAUUAGGGUUUUAAACCCUAAACUGAAUUUUCCUUUUAGUCAGCAUUAGGGUUUUAAACCCUAAACUGAACUUUUUCCUUUUCAGCCAGCAUUAGGGUUUUAAACCCUAAACUGAGCUUUUUUCAUGCAAUCAGCAUUAGGGUUUUAAACCCUAAACUGAACUUUUUCCUUUCAGCCAGCAUUAGGGUUUUAAACCCUAGACUGAGCUUUUCCAUGCAAUCAGCAUUAGGGUUUUAAACCCUAAACUGAGUUUCCCUUUUAGUCAGCAUUAGGGUUUUAAACCCUAAACUGAACUUUUUCCUUUCAGCCAGCAUUAGGGUUUUAAACUCUAAACUGAGCUUUUUCUAUGCAAUCAGCAUUAGGGUUUUAAAUCCCAAACUGAAUUUUCCUUUUAGUCAGCAUUAGGGUUUUAAACCCUAAACUGAACUUUUUCCUUUUCAGCCAGCAUUAGGGUUUUAAGCUCUAAACUGAGCUUUUUCUAUGCAAUCAGCAUUAGGGUUUUAAACCCUAAACUGAAUUUUCCUUUUAAUCAGCAUUAGGGUUUUAAACCCUAAACUAAACUUUUUCCCUUUCAGCCAGCAUUAGGGUUUUAAACUCUAAACUGAGCUUUCCUAUGCAAUCAGCAUUAGGGUUUUAAACCCUAAACUGAACUUUUUCCUUCCAGCCAGCAUUAGGGUUUUAAACCCUAAACUGAGCUUUUCCAUGCAAUCAGUAUUAGGGUUCUAAAACCCUAAACUGAAUUUUCCUUUUAGUCAGCAUUAGGGUUUUAAACCCUAAACUAAACUUUUUCCUUCCAGCCAGCAUUAGGGUUUUAAACCCUAAACUGAGCUUUCCCAUUCAAUCAACAUUAGGGUUUUAAACCCUAAACUGAACUUUUUCCUUUAAUCAGCAUUAGGGUUUUAAACCCUAAACUGAAUU
This 2130-nucleotide long non-coding RNA is filed under the name Nicotiana tabacum (common tobacco). Its description in RNAcentral is "long non-coding RNA (NTAB_LNC009191)". The record is from RNAcentral. Lineage: Eukaryota; Viridiplantae; Streptophyta; Magnoliopsida; Solanales; Solanaceae.